CCUUUAUAACCUCCAUAAUAACCUCCAUAAUAACCUCCAUAAUAACCUCCAUAAUACCCUUUAUAACCUCCAUAAUAACCUUUAUAACCUCCAUAAUAACCUUUAUAACCUCCAUAAUAACCUUUAUAAGCUCCAUAAUAACCUAUAUAACAACCUUUAUAACCUCCAUAAUAACCUUUAUAACCUCCAUAAUACCCUUUAUAACCUCCAUAAUAACGUUUAUAAGCUCCAUAAUAACCUAUAUAACAACCUUUAUAACCUCCAUAAUAACCUCCAUAAUAACCUAUAUAACCUCCAUAAUAACCUUUAUAACCACCAUAAUAACCUUUAUAACCUCCAUAAUAACCUUUAUAACCUCCAUAAUAACCUUUAUAACCUCCAUAACAACCUAUAUAACCUCCAUAAUAACCUUUAUAACCUCCAUAAUAACCUAUAUAACAACCUCUAUAACCUCCAUAAUAACCUUUAUAACCUCCAUAACAACCUCUAUAAACUCCAUAAUAACCUUUAUAACCUCCACAAUACCCUUUAUAAACUCCUAUUAGCUCUACAACCAGGGUGAGAUGGAACCUUUAUAUCCUCCAUAAUAACCUUUAGAAACUUCAUAAUAUCCUCUAUAACCUUCAUAAUAUUCUCUAUAAUAACCUUUAUAACCUCCAUAAUAACCUUUAUAAGCUCCAUAAUAACGUUUAUUAGCUCUACAACCAGGGUGAGAUGGAACCUCUAUAACCUCCAUAAUAACCUCUAUAACCUCCCUAAUAACCUAUAUAACCUCCUAUAAGCCCUUUAACCAGAGGUAGAGGAGCUGGAACUCUGAGCCCCGCCAGAGGCGGGGGUCUCCCGGGGCCGGAGGCGGGGGUCUCCCGGGGCCAGAGGCGGGGGUCUCCCGGGGCUUUUAUCCCUCACUACCAGGAAGCAGAGAUCAAUAAUAAUCCAGAUCAACCUCUAUCUCCUCUGUCUCAGAUGACAUCACACCACAGCCCCAUGUCCCACCCAGACCUCUGUUGACUGUUGUCUGUUAUCAGGUAUCUCUCUCCUCCUCAGGGAAGCUCAGUCUGUUAUCAGGUCUCUGUCUCUCCUCCUCCUCAGGGAAGCUCAGUCUGUUAUCAGGUCUCUGUCUCUCCUCCUCAGGGAAGCUCAGUCAGUCUGUUAUCAGGUCUCUGUCUCUCCUCCUCAGGAAAGCUCAGUCAGUCUGUUAUCAGGUCUCUGUCUCUCCUCCUCAGGGAAGCUCAGUCAGUCUGUUAUCAGGUCUCUGUCUCUCCUCCUCAGGGAAGCUCAGUCAGUCUGUUAUUAGGUCUCUGUCUCUUCUCCUCAGGGAAGCUCAGUCAGUCUGUUAUCAGGUCUCUGUCUCUCCUCCUCAGGAAAGCUCAGUCAGUCUGUUAUCAGGUCUCUGUCUCUCCUCCUCAGGGAAGCUCAGUCAGUCUGUUAUCAGGUCUCUGUCUCUCCUCCUCAGGGAAGCUCAGUCAGUCUGUUAUCAGGUCUCUGUCUCUCCUCCUCCUCAGGGAAGCUCAGUCAGUCUGUUAUCAGGUCUCUCUCUCCUCCUCAGGGAAGCUCAGUAUGUUAUCAGGUCUCUCUCUCCUCCUCAGGGAAGCUCAGUCUGUUAUCAGGUCUCUCUCUCCUCCUCAGGGAAGCUCAGUCUGUUAUCAGGUCUCCGUCUCUCCUCCUCAGGGAAGCUCAGUCUGUUAUCAGGUCUCUCUCUCCUCCUCAGGGAAGCUCAGUCUGUCUGUUAUCAGGUCUCUGUCUCUUCUCCUCAGGGAAGCUCAGUCUGUUAUCAGGUCUCUGUCUCUUCUCCUCAGGGAAGCUCAGUCUGUUAUCAGGUCUCUCUCUCCUCCUCAGGGAAGCUCAGUAUGUUAUCAGGUCUCUCUCUCCUCCUCAGGGAAGCUCGGUCUGUUAUCAGGUCUCUGUCUCUUCUCCUCAGGGAAGCUCAGUAUGUUAUCAGGUCUCUCUCCUCCUCAGGGAAGCUCAGUCAGUCUGUUAUCAGGUCUCUGUCUCUCCUCCUCCUCAGGGAAGCUCAGUCAGUCUGUUAUCAGGUCUCUGUCUCUCCUCCUCAGGGAAGCUCAGUAUGUUAUCAGGUCUAUGUCUCUCCUCCUCAGGGAAGCUCAGUCUGUUAUCAGGUCUCUGUCUCUUCUCCUCAGGGAAGCUCAGUCUGUUAUCAGGUCUCUGUCUCUCCUCCUCAGGGAAGCAAGUGGUGUUUGAGCAGUACGGAGACAUCCACGUGCCUGCUGUCAUCCUGAAGACCUUCCUCAGAGAGCUUCCUGAACCUCUGCUCACCUUCCCCUCUACCACCAGAUACAGGACAUAGUCCGAGUGGAGAGCAGUCUACGAGUGACCACCUGUAAACACAUCCUAGAGAGACUACCAGAACACAACUACAUGGUGUUGAAGUACCUGCUCUGCUUCUUGAACAUGGUCUCUCAGCAGAGUAUCAUCAACAAGAUGUCUCCCUCCAACCUGGCUUGUGUGUUUGGUGUCAAUCUGUCCUGGCCUUCUCAGGGCUCUGUCUCUCUGACAUCUCUAACACCGCUCAACAUCUUCACUGAGAUCCUUAUAGAACAUUACCAUACAGUCUUCAGCUCCCGCUGCCCACAAGCAGAGGUACUGCC
Molecule: long non-coding RNA, 2603 nt
Organism: Oncorhynchus keta (chum salmon)
Lineage: Eukaryota; Metazoa; Chordata; Actinopteri; Salmoniformes; Salmonidae
Exons: 4
Source: RefSeq, a predicted model, not a curated record